AGUUUGAUCCUGGCUCAGAAUGAACGCUGGCGGCGUGCUUAACACAUGCGAGUCGAACGGUAACAGAAGCAGCUUGCUGCUUGCUGACGAGUGGCGCACGGGUGAGUAAUAUAUAGAUAAUGUGCCUCUUAGUCUGGGAUAGCCAUUGGAAACGAUGAUUAAUACUAGAUACUCCUUCUGAUCUUAAGAUUAGUUGGGAAAGUUUUUCGCUAAGAGAUCGGUCUAUAUCCCAUCAGCUUGUUGGUAGUGUAAGAGACUACCAAGGCUAUGACGGGUAGCGGGUUUGAGAGGAUGAUCCGCCACACUGGUACUGAGACACGGACCAGACUCCUACGGGAGGCAGCAGUGAGGAAUAUUGCACAAUGGGGGAAACCCCGAUGCAGCAACGCCGCGUGGAGGAUGACGCAUUUCGGUGUGUAAACUCCUUUUAUAUGUCAAGAAAAUGACGGUAGCAUAUGAAUAAGCACCGGCUAACUCCGUGCCAGCAGCCGCGGUAAUACGGAGGGUGCAAGCGUUAUUCGGAAUCACUGGGCGUAAAGGACGCGUAGGCGGGUUGCCAAGUCUGAUGUGAAAUCCUAUGGCUCAACCAUAGAACUGCAUUGGAAACUGGUAACCUAGAGUAUGGGAGGGGGAGAUGGAAUUAGUGGUGUAGGGGUAAAAUCCGUAGAUAUCACUAGGAAUACCGAAAGCGAAGGCGAUCUCCUGGAACAUAACUGACGCUAAGGCGUGAAAGCGUGGGGAGCAAACGGGAUUAGAUACCCCGGUAGUCCACGCCCUAAACGAUGAACACUAGUCGUCGGGAUGCUUGUCAUCUCGGUGAUGCACUUAACAGAUUAAGUGUUCCGCCUGGGGAGUACGGUCGCAAGAUUAAAACUCAAAGGAAUAGACGGGGACCCGCACAAGUGGUGGAGCAUGUGGUUUAAUUCGAAGAUACGCGAAGAACCUUACCUAGCCUUGACAUUGAAGAAACACUUUAGAAGAUAGAGUGGUGCCCUUCGGGGAAUCUGAAAACAGGUGCUGCACGGCUGUCGUCAGCUCGUGUCGUGAGAUGUUGGGUU
RNAcentral lists this ribosomal RNA (1058 nucleotides) under uncultured Campylobacterota bacterium. RNAcentral describes it as "bacterial SSU rRNA". It matches the Rfam family "Bacterial small subunit ribosomal RNA", at positions 10 to 1081 of the family's 1533-position model. Lineage: Bacteria; Pseudomonadati; Campylobacterota. The record is from RNAcentral.